UAAAAAAAGGUAAGCUACUAAGAGCGAAUGGUGGAUGCCUUGACUGGUAAAGGCGAUGAAGGACGUACUAGACUGCGAUAAGCUACGGGGAGCUGUCAAGAAGCUUUGAUCCGUAGAUUUCCGAAUGGGGCAACCCAAUGUAUAGAGAUAUACAUUACCUAUAUAGGAGCGAACGAGGGGAAUUGAAACAUCUUAGUACCCUCAGGAAAAGAAAUCAAUAGAGAUUGCGUCAGUAGCGGCGAGCGAAAGCGCAAGAGGGCAAACCCAGUGCUUGCACUGGGGGUUGUAGGACUGCAAUGUGCAAGAGCUGAGUUUAGCAGAACAUUCUGGAAAGUAUAGCCAUAGAGGGUGAUAGUCCCGUAUGCGAAAAACAAAGCUUAGCUAGCAGUAUCCUGAGUAGGGCGGGACACGAGGAAUCCUGUCUGAAUCCGGGUCGACCACGAUCCAACCCUAAAUACUAAUACCAGAUCGAUAGUGCACAAGUACCGUGAGGGAAAGGUGAAAAGAACUGAGGUGAUCAGAGUGAAAUAGAACCUGAAACCAUUUGCUUACAAUCAUUCAGAGCACUAUGUAGCAAUACAGUGUGAUGGACUGCCUUUUGCAUAAUGAGCCUGCGAGUUGUGGUGUCUGGCAAGGUUAAGCAAACGCGAAGCCGUAGCGAAAGCGAGUCUGAAUAGGGCGCUUAGUCAGAUGCUGCAGACCCGAAACGAAGUGAUCUAUCCAUGAGCAAGUUGAAGCUAGUGUAAGAACUAGUGGAGGACUGAACCCAUAGGCGUUGAAAAGCCCCGGGAUGACUUGUGGAUAGGGGUGAAAGGCCAAUCAAACUUCGUGAUAGCUGGUUCUCUCCGAAAUAUAUUUAGGUAUAGCGUUGUGUCGUAAUAUAAGGGGGUAGAGCACUGAAUGGGCUAGGGCAUACACCAAUGUACCAAACCCUAUCAAACUCCGAAUACCUUAUAUGUAAUCACAGCAGUCAGGCGGCGAGUGAUAAAAUCCGUCGUCAAGAGGGAAACAACCCAGACUACCAGCUAAGGUCCCUAAAUCUUACUUAAGUGGAAAACGAUGUGAAGUUACUUAAACAACCAGGAGGUUGGCUUAGAAGCAGCCAUCCUUUAAAGAAAGCGUAAUAGCUCACUGGUCUAGUGAUUUUGCGCGGAAAAUAUAACGGGGCUAAAGUAAGUACCGAAGCUGUAGACUUGCACACAACUUAGAUUAUUUAAGUUUAGAAUAUGAGAAACUAAGUUAUAUGUUUAGUUAUAUUUUUACUGAUUUUUAUAGAGUAAAGAUAGAAAUAAAACUUAGUAAAAUCAGUAAAAAUAUUCUUAGGCUAAAGUUAAGUAGUUUAAGUUGUGUGCAAGUGGUAGGAGAGCGUUCUAUUUGCGUCGAAGGUAUACCGGUAAGGAGUGCUGGAGCGAAUAGAAGUGAGCAUGCAGGCAUGAGUAGCGAUAAUUAAUGUGAGAAUCAUUAACGCCGUAAACCCAAGGUUUCCUACGCGAUGCUCGUCAUCGUAGGGUUAGUCGGGUCCUAAGUCGAGUCCGAAAGGGGUAGACGAUGGCAAAUUGGUUAAUAUUCCAAUACCAACAUUAGUGUGCGAUGGAAGGACGCUUAGGGCUAAGGGGGCUAGCGGAUGGAAGUGCUAGUCUAAGGUUGUAGGAGGUUAUACAGGCAAAUCCGUAUAACAAUACUCCGAGAACUGAAAGGCUUUUUGAAGUCUUCGGAUGGAUAGAAGAACCCCUGAUGCCGUCGAGCCAAGAAAAGUUUCUAAGUUUAGCUAAUGUUGCCCGUACCGUAAACCGACACAGGUGGGUGGGAUGAGUAUUCUAAGGCGCGUGGAAGAACUCUCUUUAAGGAACUCUGCAAAAUAGCACCGUAUCUUCGGUAUAAGGUGUGGUUAGCUUCGUACUAGGAUUUACUCCGAAAGCGAAGAAACUUACAACAAAGAGUCCCUCCCGACUGUUUACCAAAAACACAGCACUCUGCUAACUCGUAAGAGGAUGUAUAGGGUGUGACGCCUGCCCGGUGCUCGAAGGUUAAUUGAUGGGGUUAGCAUUAGCGAAGCUCUUGAUCGAAGCCCGAGUAAACGGCGGCCGUAACUAUAACGGUCCUAAGGUAGCGAAAUUCCUUGUCGGUUAAAUACCGACCUGCAUGAAUGGCGUAACGAGAUGGGAGCUGUCUCAAAGAGGGAUCCAGUGAAAUUGUAGUGGAGGUGAAAAUUCCUCCUACCCGCGGCAAGACGGAAAGACCCCGUGGACCUUUACUACAGCUUGACACUGCUAUUUGGAUAAGAAUGUGCAGGAUAGGUGGGAGGCUUUGAGUAUAUGACGCCAGUUGUAUAUGAGCCAUUGUUGAGAUACCACUCUUUCUUAUUUGGGUAGCUAACCAGCUUGAGUUAUCCUCAAGUGGGACAAUGUCUGGUGGGUAGUUUGACUGGGGCGGUCGCCUCCCAAAUAAUAACGGAGGCUUACAAAGGUUGGCUCAUAGCGGUUGGAAAUCGCUAGUAGAGUAUAAAGGUAUAAGCCAGCUUAACUGCAAGACAUACAAGUCAAGCAGAGACGAAAGUCGGUCUUAGUGAUCCGGUGGUUCUGUGUGGAAGGGCCAUCGCUCAAAGGAUAAAAGGUACCCCGGGGAUAACAGGCUGAUCUCCCCCAAGAGCUCACAUCGACGGGGAGGUUUGGCACCUCGAUGUCGGCUCAUCGCAUCCUGGGGCUGGAGCAGGUCCCAAGGGUAUGGCUGUUCGCCAUUUAAAGCGGUACGCGAGCUGGGUUCAGAACGUCGUGAGACAGUUCGGUCCCUAUCUGCCGUGGGCGUAAGAAGAUUGAAGAGAUUUGACCCUAGUACGAGAGGACCGGGUUGAACAAACCACUGGUGUAGCUGUUGUUCUGCCAAGAGCAUCGCAGCGUAGCUAAGUUUGGAAAGGAUAAACGCUGAAAGCAUCUAAGCGUGAAGCCAACUCUAAGAUGAAUCUUCUCUAAGCUCUCUAGAAGACUACUAGUUUGAUAGGCUGGGUGUGUAAUGGAUGAAAGUCCUUUAGCUGACCAGUACUAAUAGAGCGUUUGGCUUAUCUUUAAUAAAGCAU
RNAcentral lists this ribosomal RNA (3073 nucleotides) under Campylobacter jejuni. Its description in RNAcentral is "bacterial LSU rRNA". It matches the Rfam family "Bacterial large subunit ribosomal RNA". The record is from RNAcentral. Lineage: Bacteria; Pseudomonadati; Campylobacterota; Epsilonproteobacteria; Campylobacterales; Campylobacteraceae.